CCUACGGGAGGCAGCAGUGAGGAAGAUUGGUCAAUGGACGAGAGUCUGAACCAGCCAAGUAGCGUGAAGGAUGACUGCCCUAUGGGUUGUAAACUUCUUUUAUAUGGGAAUAAAAUGUGACACGUGGGGGAUUUUGUAUGUACCAUAUGAAUAAGGAUCGGCUAACUCCGUGCCAGCAGCCGCGGUAAUACGGAGGAUCCGAGCGUGAUCCGGAUUUAUUGGGUUUAAAGGGAGCGUAGGGGGAUUGUUACGUCAGUUGUGAACGUUUGCGGCUCCACCGUAAAAUUGCCGUUGAAACUGGCAGUCUUGCGUACAGUAGCGGUGGGCGGCCUUCGUGGUGUAGCG
Molecule: ribosomal RNA, 345 nt
Filed under: uncultured bacterium
Lineage: Bacteria
Description: partial 16S ribosomal RNA
Rfam family: Bacterial small subunit ribosomal RNA
Source: RNAcentral